GAAAUGCGAUAAGUAAUGUGAAUUGCAGAAUUCAGUGAAUCAUCGAAUCUUUGAACGCACAUUGCCCCCGCCAGUAUUCUGGCGGGCAUGCCUGUUCGAGCGUCAUUUCAACCAUCAAGCCCCGCGCUUGUGUUGGGGACCUGCGGCUGCCGCAGGCCCUGAAAACCAGUGGCGGGCUCGCUGUCACACCGGGCGUAGUAGAUUUUAUCUCGCUCAGGGCGUGCUGCGGGUUCCGGCCGUUAAAAAGCCUUUUUUACCCAAGGUUGACCUCGGAUCAGGUAGGAAGACCCGCUGAACUUAAGC
Molecule: unclassified non-coding RNA, 303 nt
Filed under: plant metagenome
Description: partial contains 5.8S ribosomal RNA, internal transcribed spacer 2, and large subunit ribosomal RNA
Rfam family: 5.8S ribosomal RNA (bases 1-105)
Source: RNAcentral